Molecule: ribosomal RNA, 551 nt
Filed under: uncultured bacterium
Lineage: Bacteria
Description: bacterial SSU rRNA
Rfam family: Bacterial small subunit ribosomal RNA
Source: RNAcentral
UGAGGAAAUAUUGGUCAAUGGGCGCGAGCCUGAACCAGCCAAGUAGCGUGCAGGAUGACGGCCCUAUGGGUUGUAAACUGCUUUUAUGUGGGGAUAAAGUGAGCUACGUGUAGUUUAUUGCAGGUACCACAUGAAUAAGGACCGGCUAAUUCCGUGCCAGCAGUCGCGGUAAUACGGAAGGUCCAGGCGUUAUCCGGAUUUAUUGGGUUUAAAGGGAGCGUAGGCCGUGGAUUAAGCGUGUUGUGAAAUGUAGACGCUCAACGUCUGAAUUGCAGCGCGAACUGGUUCACUUGAGUAUGCGCAACGUAGGCGGAAUUCGUCGUGUAGCGGUGAAAUGCUUAGAUAUGACGAAGAACUCCGAUUGCGAAGGCAGCUUGCGGGAGCACAACUGACGCUGAAGCUCGAAGGUGCGGGUAUCAAACAGGAUUAGAUACCCUGGUAGUCCGCACAGUAAACGAUGGAUGCCCGUUGUUAGUUCACUUAGGAAUUAGCGACCAAGCGAAAGCAUUAAGCAUCCCACCUGGGGAGUACGCCGGCAACGGUGAAACUUA